GGCAGAAAUGUCAUAGCCCUUCGGGGCCACUAUUACAGGUGGUGCAUGGUUGUCGUCAGCUCGUGUCGUGAGAUGUUAGGUUAAGUCCUGCAACGAGCGCAACCCUCGCCCUUAGUUGCUAACAGGUUAUGCUGAGAACUCUAAGGGGACCGCCUAGUUUAACUAGGAGGAAGGUGGGGAUGACGUCAAAUCCUCAUGGCCCUUACGCCUAGGGCUAGACACGUGCUACAAUGGCUGGUACAACGGGAUGCGAGAUGGUGACAUUAAGCUAAUCCCAAAAAACCAGUCUCAGUUCGGAUUGAAGUCUGCAAUUCGACUUCAUGAAGCUGGAAUCGCUAGUAAUCGCGGAUCAGCAUGCCGCG
Molecule: ribosomal RNA, 362 nt
Filed under: uncultured bacterium RSD8
Lineage: Bacteria
Description: bacterial SSU rRNA
Rfam family: Bacterial small subunit ribosomal RNA
Source: RNAcentral